RNAcentral lists this ribosomal RNA (253 nucleotides) under uncultured bacterium. Its description in RNAcentral is "partial 16S ribosomal RNA". It matches the Rfam family "Bacterial small subunit ribosomal RNA", at positions 524 to 776 of the family's 1533-position model. The record is from RNAcentral.
GACAGAGGGUGCAAACGUUGUUCGGAAUUACUGGGCGUAAAGCGCGUGUAGGCUGCUUUGCAAGUCGGAUGUGAAAGCCCUGGGCUCAACCUAGGAAGUGCACUCGAAACUGCAAAGCUUGAGUCUCGGAGAGGAUCGCGGAAUUCUCGGUGUAGAGGUGAAAUUCGUAGAUAUCGAGAGGAACACCGGUGGCGAAGGCGGCGAUCUGGACGAUGACUGACGCUGAGACGCGAAAGCGUGGGGAGCAAACAGG